CAUCAUGCACAUUCACCAGGGGUCACUGUAAGAGAGGAAAAAUGAAUUCAAUGAAGAGGAAAUGACAGGUGCCACUGACAAGAAGAUUUUAAACUCAGCUGCAGUAGUUUAAAGAGAAGAUUUCUUGGGAAGCAUGUGGUGCAUUACAGCUUUGGUUUGGUUUGCAGUAGGUAUCUCAGGCAAUGGUCAGUCUCCAGUUCUCCACCAGAGCCCACGGUCGGUGGUGCAGGACCCCGGCAAUAACACUUCCCUGGAUUGUUCUCUGGAAGGAUAUCCCAACCCCAACCUCUACUGGUACAGGCAAGUCCCAGGGGGAGCGAUCGAACACCUUUCCUAUUCAAUAAGCAAGGGAUCAGCAACAGAUUCUGGACUGACCCACAUCAAAGGGACACGGCCCAGUGAUGUCAGAUUCAUCCUGGAGAUUGACAACCUCAGUACCAGCGACACUGGGACCUAUUACUGUGCCUGGAGUCACACACUGAACCAAGAGAGUGCAGCACUCUAACAAAAACCUUCCCUCGCUUUCUCCUUUCAAGUGAAGGAACCCCACUUGCCUGCUGAGUGGCACCAAGCAGACCACAAUGUGCCUCCUUUGUGGCCUCGGUUGCCCUACUUUCCAGUAAACACACAGGGAACAGAAGCCACAUGGGAGACUUCCUGGAUGUAGCAGGCAGUACAGCUGAACCUCGGUGUGCCCUUUUGGCAAGAGCCACAGUUUGCAGCACCUCUACAAUCAAAACGCAAUAAAACUGUGCAAAACUUUGA
Non-coding RNA from Anolis carolinensis (green anole), 765 nucleotides. NCBI's taxonomy places the organism in Eukaryota, Metazoa, Chordata, Lepidosauria, Squamata, Anolidae. The record is from the annotation of a RefSeq genome assembly.